GUCGCAGUAGCUUAUUUAAAGCAUGGGUCUUGUAAACCCAAGAUUGAAAGCAAAAGCUUUCCUGCGGC
RNAcentral lists this transfer RNA (68 nucleotides) under Andrias davidianus (Chinese giant salamander). RNAcentral describes it as "tRNA-Thr". It matches the Rfam family "tRNA". Rfam says of the family: Transfer RNA (tRNA) molecules are approximately 80 nucleotides in length. Their secondary structure includes four short double-helical elements and three loops (D, anti-codon, and T loops). Further hydrogen bonds mediate the characteristic L-shaped molecular structure. tRNAs have two regions of fundamental functional importance: the anti-codon, which is responsible for specific mRNA codon recognition, and the 3' end, to which the tRNAs corresponding amino acid is attached (by aminoacyl-tRNA synthetases). tRNAs cope with the degeneracy of the genetic code in two manners: having more than one tRNA (with a specific anti-codon) for a particular amino acid; and 'wobble' base-pairing, i.e. permitting non-standard base-pairing at the 3rd anti-codon position. The record is from RNAcentral. Lineage: Eukaryota; Metazoa; Chordata; Amphibia; Caudata; Cryptobranchidae.